Long non-coding RNA from Xenopus laevis (African clawed frog), 1205 nucleotides. RefSeq lists it as uncharacterized. Lineage: Eukaryota; Metazoa; Chordata; Amphibia; Anura; Pipidae. The record is from RefSeq and is a predicted model, not a curated record. The transcript is spliced from 2 exons.
CGGGUUUCCGGAUAACGGAUGCUAUACCUGCAUUGCAAUAGACUUUUGUAUUUUGUUUGCACUGAUGAUUGCAUCUUAAACACGGUCCCUUGUAUCGGUUCCGGGCUAGCCUUUAUUCAUUAGCUUGCGCUGAGGAUGGCAAAUUAAAGGAUUGAUUGUUUUGCCUUAGAUUACCCUUUACUUCAUAAUCUGUGUGGUGUUUGUUUGCACCAAUGAAGGCCUAUUCAACGAUUGCUUUUAUUAAAUUGCCCUUUAAUUCCUUAUCUGUGUGACGUGCCUGCACAUGUAUGUGUUGCGAUAGACUUUUGUUUUUUGUUUGCACUGAUGAGUGCAUCUUGAAUGCCCCCCUGCAUUGGUUUAAGUCAUCCUUUAAUUCCGGAUGGGAUUGAAGCUCCUUUUUUUUAAAAAAAAAUACCUACUGAACAGGCACUGGCCGACGUGAGUACGCAGUGGGAGUGGUUCGGCUGUCUGGAUUACUUGCAUUUCUCAGCCUUGAGCCCCCCUGCGGAAGCGCGGCGAAGACAGCAAAAGGUAAGUGCUUUUUUCAUUCAUUGCACAUUCGCUAUUGUGGACCUAAAGUCGUCUUCAUUGACCGCUGCUAUUAUGUUGCCUUUUAAUUCCGUAUCUGUGUGAUGUUUAUCUGCACAUAUGUAUUGCAAUAGAGGUUUGGUUAUUUUUUGCACUGAUUAUUGCUUCUUGAAUGAACACUUGCUUUGGUUUAAGUUACCCUUUCAGCCCUUAUCUGAUUGACGUGUAUGAACAUAUGAACAUAUAUGUCCUUCAGUAGACUUUGGGAGAGUUUUUUUUUCACUCAUCUGUGCCUUUUUAAUGAUGGUUUAUGUGGCGUUCAUUUACCCUUUAAUUGCUUUUCUGUGUGAAGUAUAUUUGAACGUAUGUAUUAACCGAUUAUUGCAUCUUAAACGGUCCCUUGUUUCAGGUGCCCUUUAUUUGUUUGCUUACAUCCAUGAGGGUCCAUUGAAUGAUUACUUGUAUUGGCUUAAGUUACCCUUGAACUCUUAAUCUGUGUUUGGCCUCUUUGAUGAUCUCUUUUAUUACGUUGCCCUUUAAUUCCUUAUCUGUGUGAAGUACCUGUGCACAUAUGUGUCGCGAUAGAUGUUUUUGUUUGCACUGAUUCGUUCGUUGAAUACGUACCUGCAUUGGUUUAAGUCAUCCUUUAAUUCCGGAUGGGCUUGAAGCUCCUUUUU